Molecule: long non-coding RNA, 2364 nt
Organism: Brassica rapa (field mustard)
Lineage: Eukaryota; Viridiplantae; Streptophyta; Magnoliopsida; Brassicales; Brassicaceae
Source: RefSeq, a predicted model, not a curated record
AUGAACCAGAAGGUUUCCUGAUUUCUCUAACUUGUCCUCCACGUCUCUUGACUUUGUCCAUGUACUUGUCCUGCAACCAAAAAACAUCUGAGCUGAGGCAAAUAAACUAACAAUGGACAAACUAACAAUCCAAGUUUUGGUGGAGAUAAAAAAAGAAGGUUUAGAGACGGGUGCAGGGUAACAAGAAGAUCUUGUUGUAUGUAACUUUGGAAAUAUUCUAACCUCAUUUGAAAUCAGUCGUUUCCAUCCACGGUUUCUGGUAAUAACAAGGUCGAUGAUGGUUCCCUGAAACGACACAAUCAUGUCAAUGAGAUGGACACAAUACAUGUGACGGUCUGCACAGGGUCAGAGUCAUUUUAUAAUCAUACCUUGAAUAGAAUUUGCUUUGGCAGCUCGUUUAGCUUCUCUGAUCUGUCUCACUUGUUUGUAAAACUCAUCUUCUGAGCCUUCUGAUUUGCCAUCACUAUCAACCAUCCCAUCAUCUAGCUUCCUGGUUACAUCCGGGAUUAAAAAUUAUUAAUAUACAUCACAAUCUUCAGAAAGGGGCAAAGGAUAUCAUAAUUGGGUUGGUAGACCAAACCGGUUCAAUUGAUUACCAAUACUUGACCUGCUUUCAACGUUUUAAUUGGGUUGGUGAACCAAACCGGUUCAAUUGAUUACCGAUACUUGACCUUCUUGCAAUUGAUUUUCCGGUUUAAUUUUGAUUUUUCACUUAACAUGUGUUUUAGUUUGAGAAAGUAUUUCAAAAGCAUUCAGGUUUAUGUAUAUCUGGUUUAGCUUUUCAAAUCCACUAAAAUACAUAGACCUAUAACAUCCUUCUUUUAAUGAACUUUUUGAGCUGUUUAUAUAUAAAGGAUACUUUUAUGGAAAGUAUAAGGUUAUUUCAUUUAUUUCUAAAUAAAUAAUAAAUAACUUUUUAAAUGAACAAAAUCUAUGAUGUUUUAUCAAGAAAAACUUACUUGUAUGUGCUUAUACUCUUCGCAACCUUGUUGAACUUAAAUUAAUUCCAACUUGAUUCCAUUGAAUAGAUCAUGGAUAACCUGAAAAAAUAUAGAGAAAAUGAAUUUGUAUUCAAUAGAACAUCUAGUAAUUUAUGAAUCAGAUAAUAGAAUAGCCAGUGUCUUUGUAUUCAAUUGAUUUCAAGAGUACAUUCAAUUGUUUUUGUUCAUUCUGGAAAUAAUAGAUGCAAGCUUUAAAAAACUGCACAAUUUUUAAACCGAAGUUAAUUAAUAAUUAGGAUGGCGUUCCUGCAGAGAAGAAAGGAGGCUUGUCUUUGGAAGGAAUACAAAAUAGCAUAGAUGGCAUUUGGUCUUCCUAUGGAGAAAAGAGGGUCAUAAUCUUCACACUAACCACAUUGAAAAGAUCGCUCCAUCUCAUAUCAGGCCAGGCAUUAUAGAUUUGCACAUCCUCAUGGGAUAUGUGGCUUUGAAGGUUUUAAAACACUGGCCGAAAAUUACUUGGAGGUAAAUGAGCAUGCUCUAUUCCCAGAGAUAUAAAUUAAACUAAUUGAAGGAGUCAAAAUCACUCCAGCACAAGUGGCAGAGGUGUUGAACUUGAACCAUGAAACUUUGUUUGGAUUAUGCUCAUUUCUUUUGUGGUUUGGCUUUGUCAAUGGUUUUAGUAUAUGUUUCGGUGGUUUGCCAAAGUUUGCAUAACUUUCUUUGUUAUGAAUACAUGUGUGACUUUGGCUUUCUUUUAUUGUAGUCACAUGAUAUUUUGAACUGAGUUUUUUAUUUAUUUAUAGUCGUUUCAGAUGUUGUAAAUUAAUGAAUACUUAUUUUCCAUUCUACAUUUUAUGGUUAGAAAAAUUAAUAUUACAAAUUUUAUGUUUUGUAUACGUAGCUAGGCUGAUAUAUUGUACUAGUGUAGUGUUGUUUCAAAUUACUAAGAUAAUAUAUUGAGUAAAUCAUAAAGAAUAUGUACCUGCAGUCAGUUGAUUACUAAUUGAUUUUUGAUGUAAAUACUAUAAAGCUUAGCAGUUUUUGUAAAUGAAUAAACUAUUUAUUUAUUGUUAUGACAAUGAUAGAAAGUCAAAUAUUGUAGCAUAUGAUAAAUUGAACCAUUCAAACUUUAGAUAUCAAACAAAAAGUUUUCUGUUAUUCAUUUUAUUUUGUAACCAAUACAAAGUUUUGCAUACUUUUACUUACGAUACUGAAAUUUGCAACACCCAUAGCCUGAAAAUAAGAGAAAAAUACGAUAAGAUAUUGAUUGAAGAUUAACAGAGAAGAGUUACAUAAUUUAUUAGAGAAGCUAACUCACUAGGAUCAAUAAUGGUAAUGAGACCAGAGCCAUCGAAAUAGCAAUCCCUUAGGUGUCUUCCUUGAGCUUGAUAAUAAAGAUUCAUGGCGACCGAAGCGUGAUUAA